AAUUAACGAUAUGUUCCUUUUAUAUCUCCUUGCAAAUUUCCUGCUUCUUCCUUUGCUCUCCAAUUGCGAGGAUAUAUUUAUUCUAUCUCUUUAUGAGAGAAAUAAGCAUACUCGCAUGUAUCGGAUUUUCAUCGUGUUGAUUCAAUGUAUAAAAGUAUGCCGAAGAGGUUAACGAUCAAAUCCCCUACGCAGGAAAAACUCGAUUGACGUUCCUGACAAUCUCUGACAUUAUAGUAUAAUUAUAAUUUACGAUCGAGAAGAAAGCGAAAGAGAAGAAAUUAACGAAAGAAACAGAGAUUAAUAGAUAUAUACAUAUACUGGCUAAUAGUCGAGAGACACCACUGUGAAAACUAAUCAACGAUUCGCAAACUACAAAUGAACAAUACAUUCUUACUCUUGCUUAAAAAAUAUCAUUAAUGAUGAUGGAGUAUAUUAUAAUCUCCUACGUAUCUUAUGUAUGUGUUUAUUUAUAUAUUAUUUUUUAAUGGGUUAUUAUUUUCAUCUGCAAAAUUUACGGUUUUGACAUUGGUAUUACAAUUAACGCGAUUCUAGGAGUUAGCAGGAUUCUAAGUAACAACACUCAAUUAAUACAUAUAAUAAUUCAA
Cataglyphis hispanica is the source of this 605-nucleotide long non-coding RNA. RefSeq lists it as uncharacterized. The transcript has 3 exons. NCBI's taxonomy places the organism in Eukaryota, Metazoa, Arthropoda, Insecta, Hymenoptera, Formicidae. The record is from RefSeq and is a predicted model, not a curated record.